RNAcentral lists this ribosomal RNA (418 nucleotides) under uncultured bacterium. RNAcentral's name for it is "bacterial SSU rRNA". It matches the Rfam family "Bacterial small subunit ribosomal RNA", at positions 954 to 1375 of the family's 1533-position model. The record is from RNAcentral.
AUGGGAACGCGAAGAACCUUACCUAGACUUGACAUCUCCUGAAUAGUGUAGAGAUACAUGAAGCCCUUCGGGGCAGGAAGACAGGUGGUGCAUGGUUGUCGUCAGCUCGUGUCGUGAGAUGUUGGGUUAAGUCCCGCAACGAGCGCAACCCUUAUUACUAGUUGCUACCAUUAAGUUGAGCACUCUAGUGAGACUGCCCGGGUUAACCGGGAGGAGGCGGGGAUGACGUCAAAUCAUCAUGCCCCUUAUGUCUAGGGCAACACACGUGCUACAAUGGUGAGUACAGAUAGAUGCGAUACCGCAAGGUGGAGCCAAACUCUAAAACUCAUCCCAGUUCGGAUUGUAGGCUGCAACUCGCCUACAUGAAGCUGGAGUUACUAGUAAUCGCAGAUCAGAAUGCUGCGGUGAAUGCGUUCCC